This 336-nucleotide unclassified non-coding RNA is filed under the name soil metagenome. RNAcentral describes it as "partial contains 5.8S ribosomal RNA, internal transcribed spacer 2, and large subunit ribosomal RNA". The stretch from base 1 to 120 matches the Rfam family "5.8S ribosomal RNA", at positions 35 to 154 of the family's 154-position model. The record is from RNAcentral.
GAUGAAGAACGUAGCGAAAUGCGAUAAGUAAUGUGAAUUGCAGAAUUCAGUGAAUCAUCGAAUCUUUGAACGCACAUUGCGCCCGCCAGUAUUCUGGCGGGCAUGCCUGUUCGAGCGUCAUUUCAACCAUCAAGCCCCCGGCUUGUGUUGGGGACCUGCGGCUGCCGCAGGCCCUGAAAACCAGUGGCGGGCUCGCUAGUCACUCCGAGCGUAGUAAUACAUCUCGCUCAGGGCGUGCUGCGGGUUCCGGCCGUUAAAAAGCCUUUUUUUACCCAAGGUUGACCUCGGAUCAGGUAGGAAGACCCGCUGAACUUAAGCAUAUCAAUAAGCGGAGGA